RNAcentral lists this long non-coding RNA (15915 nucleotides) under Gossypium barbadense (sea-island cotton). RNAcentral's name for it is "long non-coding RNA (GBAR_LNC022614)". Lineage: Eukaryota; Viridiplantae; Streptophyta; Magnoliopsida; Malvales; Malvaceae. The record is from RNAcentral.
UGGAUACGGUUGUAUUAUUGAAAAAUUUUAUGUCCAUGGUUGUAUUGUCAGCUGUACAAGCCUAAUAAUGCCCGGGCCCAAACCCAAUAAACUAAACCAAAACCCAAUAGCUAAUUCCUAACCCAGGCCCGAAACUAAUGGAAAAGGGAAGGGUUGGGAAGCCCUAGCAACAGCCCUCGCCUCCAGCAGACUCUCCAGGCGCCGCACGUCUCGGGGCCGACCUCUCCACACGCGCCGUUUGCUCCACGAACGCCUGCAAAUGCGGACUCAAUGAGUCCGAAAGAAAAAAACAACAAGAAAUAACAUUAUUUCAUUAUUUUCUUUUUCUUUUUCUUUUUCGGGCUAUAAAAAGCCAUUUCUAAUCUGUAAAAUGGGGGUCGAAAAAUAUAUGCAAAGAUAUAGAGAGAAAAUACAGGAAUUAAACUUGUUUUUGCAUAGGCGAUUUCUUCUUUGUUUUGCUUUGCAGUGUCCAUCGUUUUUUACAUAUAUAUUGUUUUAUUCUCUUUUAUUUUCGUUUUAUUUCAUUUAAAACAAUAAAGAAAAGAAGGGAUCUUACCUCUUUCGUCAAAGUCCCCGGAUGGUUGCCAUCUCCGUCGCAAUCGGAGCGUUGGCACGAACGGCGGCGCAAAAUGGGUUAAAAGAGCCCUAACAGAGCAACUAUUUUUUUUAAAUGUUUGCUGUGGCUGUUGUUUUGAAGGAAAACUAAAGACUUUCUAAUUAGGGUUUUGGGUUGGUUUUUAUAGAGGGAAAAGUGACACCGUUUAAUGGCCUAGUGAUCCUUGCAUUUUGUCUUAAUGGCCUAAUUGUGCAUUGGGUCCUUCAUUCUUUUAUUGCUUUAAAAUCAAGUUUUUUUUUGUUUUUUAAUUCCCCUAGGAUUUAUUUCAUUUUCAAUCGGGUCUAUAAUUGAACGGCGUCGUUUUGGAGGGUAGGGAUUAAUUUCCCUUUUGAUCCCUCCUUAUUAUUCACGUGUUCGAUCAAGUUUGUCCGUUUUUUUACUUAUUUUCGAAUCUACCCCAUUUUUUUGUUUUUAAGUUCAAUUUAGUCCAUCUUUAGCCAUUUUUUUAUUAUUUCUUUUUUUUAUGUUUAUCAUUAUAGCAUUAUUUAUUAUUAUAUUAUUUACUAUCACUGUUAUCAUCAUUACUUCUAUCUUCAUACAUGCAUUAUCUUUUUUAUAAAUAAUACAUAUACGCAUGUUUUUUACUCGCAUAGUUUUUUUUUAUAAUAUAUAUAUAAUGCAUUUUAUGUAGAAUAUGUAUAGCUGCAUACAUUUUAUACACUUUUUUAUUUUCAUUUUAUUUCUUAACUUCUAUAUACAUAUAUAUGCAUUUCAUAAUUUCUUAAUAUAUUUUUUUUUCAUUUUUUAAAUACACAUAUUUUUUACAAAACAUAAAUAUCUUUUAUAUUUUAAUUCCAAAAAUAUUUGUUUACUUUACUUUCGUGGAUAUGUACAUAUACCUACUUUCAUAUAUACGUUUCAUCAUUUAUUUUCAUAUUUUUUUUACAUACAUAUAUAUAUACACAUAUGCAUACUUUUAUAUUUUUUUAUUUUUCACGAUUUUCAAACACAUAUACAUGCAUUUUUAUUGGUUUUUUAAUUGAUAUAUUCUAUUCCAUCUUUCCAUAUGUAUUCUUGUAUAUGUACGUUAAAUAUAUGCGUACACAUAUUUUCAAAUUUACUUGUAUAUUGUACUUGUAUAUAUAUUUGUAAAUACAUAUUCAUAUAUGUUUUAAAUUAAAGUUUUUGUUUCAUAUUAACAUACCUUUUGGGAAAUAUAUUUUGGUUUGUCGAAACAUCAAAAUUAUUUUUUUCUCUUGAUUCAAUCUUUUUUUGAAUAAAAGCAAUAUUCAAAGUUUGGGAUUUUCGAGGAAAUCGAGCCCUAACGUAUUGGGUUCCGAUUUUCUUUGUUAAUCUUAAAUAACCGAGAAUAUUCUUUAUUCAAAAUACAUGAGUAUAAAAAUCACUUUCGGGAACUUAACUUGUUGUGUCCUAACGUAUUGGGUGUGACAUGUUAUUUUCUCUAAAUGAAGAUUUUCAUAUAAAAUAAAGUGAUAUUCAAAGUUCGGGGAUUAUGAAGAAUUGUACCCUAACGUAUUGGGACUCGAUUUCUUUACAUGACUUGAACAAUUAAUUAUCCUUUUUCAAAUUCCAUCGUUUGAGUUGAUUUUUAAAUUUUUUUUAACCUUCGACACUAAGACAUCAAAUAAUCAAUUUGGUGCCGAUUUUGGGCGUUACGAGUGUGCUAACCCUUCCUCGUGCGUAACUGACUCUCGAACUCGUUUUCUCAAAAUUCGUAGACCUAAAUAAUUUUUAAGGUGAGCCGAUCACACCUUAAUAAAGGAUUGGUGGCGACUCUAGUUUUAUUUUUUAAGUCGACAACUAGAUUUUUGUUUUUCAAAAAAACGAUUUCGACAGCUUGGCGACUCCACUGAAGACUUUGAGAGUCGAGCCAUAAACUGAUAGUAUUUGUCUUUGUGUCGAAAAUCAAAAGUUUUUAGAAAAUUUCAUGAGUUCCUUUCGCAUUCAUUGAUUUCUUUUUUUUCAUCUUGGUAUGUUGGUAGCUUUGCAUUUACAUUUUGCAUUGUACCCUUUAAGUGGGAGCGAGAAACUAGUCCUUCAUGAGGUUUUCACCUCCGUGCAGGGUAGUGGACCGUUUCCAGGAUGCAUCCGUACCUAUAUCUUCGUGAGAUUUUCAUCUCCGUGCAGCCAUAGGGAAAUGUAUCCCCUUGAACUGAACUUGAUCCAUAUGAGCCUAUAAUGGGUGAGGAUCGAGGAAUCUGCUGGUUCGGGUACCCUUACUCUAGAAACUAAACAUCAUAUAGUGAGCUUUAGGAACUUGACCUAGGUAGAACUAUCCCAAAACCCUAGUGGAUUCCAGAUUAACUGUUUCUUGCUAUUUCAUGCUUGUAUUGGAUUAUAUCUCUAUAUGUGAUACUGACUUGGGUUUCUUUUGUUUUGAUUGCAUGACAUCAUGAUUGCAUAGCAUUUCAUCCUAAAAGGGCGUUAGUUCAUAUUCGGUUGCUAAAUAGAAAGCUUAUCAUGGAGAAAGGGUUUCUUGAUAAGAUGGAAGAUAAUGCGGCUGUCCAAACUUGGUCUGAGACAACACAGCAAGAGAAAGGUGAUAGUUUGGCCGAGGGAUAUGUGUCAGAGUUGUGGGACUUCACUCGUGUUAGUGCGACUCAGAAUAGCCUACAUAAACUAAAGGAAAUUUGGGAAAGGUGGAAUGAUGAGGUUAAACAGCUCUUCUACUCUAGCUAUGGAGACCUACCUUACUUGCUCGACUUAAAGGUGGAUAAGCACUUAUUUCGUGCCUUAGCCCAAUUUUGGAAUCCUGCUUAUAGUUGCUUUACCUUUGGAAAAGUUGACUUAGUGCCUACGAUGGAGGAAUAUACGGCCUUGCUUCGUUUUUCAAAGAUCCAAGUAGAUAAAGCCUACUCGAGAGCUGCUAAUGUUCCAACCUUUUUGAAGAAAUUGAUGAAUAUUACGGGGAUGAGUGAGCAAUGGGCCGCAGCACGAAUCAAACAAAAGGGAGAUAGUAAAUGCAUUCCUUGGAAGAGCCUGAAGGAUUUAAUUCUAGCACACCCGGAUACGAGGAAGAAGGUUGAUGUCUUUGCCUUGGGUAUUUACGGUUUAGUUACCUUUCCCAAAGCCUUGGGACAUGUUGAUGAAGCAGUCACUGAUCUUUUCGAUCGACUUGGUAAAGGAGUUACACCGGUUCCAGCAAUUUUAGCAGACUCUUUCAGGUCACUGAACGAAUGCUGAAGAGUAGGUGAAGGAAGAUUCGUUGGAUGUGCGCAGCUUCUCUUGGCAUGGUUUCACAGUCACUUCUGGAAGGCUGAUAAAUUUUCCUAUCGAGUUUUUUUCUGAAACUUAUUCGCCUUUGAAAGAAAUAGUGGCGAUACCGAGGCAAGAUGGUGUUUUAGAAGAAAGAUGGAUUGCAAUUCUUCAGAAUCUUCAAGAGGAGAAUAUCGAGUGGAGAGCUCCUUGGAUGCUGCCAGAUGAGAUCUUGUAUAGGUGUGGAGAUUUCGAUAAGGUCCCUCUACUUGGGAUUUGGGGAGCUAUCGGCUAUGCACCGUUACUGGUAUUGAGACAGUAUAGAUCGAGGCAGUUCGUACCUACAACCCAAGGAUUAGCUCAAAGUGAAUUCUCGUAUAAGUAUGAUGGUUACAAGAAGAAGAUUCGAGAAAUGACAAAUGCUUAGAGGCAGACUCGACGAAUGAAGAGAUUGGCAGUAGUUCAUCGACGACUCUUGAAUAUAUCAAGUGGCUAGGUAGGAGGGUCAAUGAUAAUAUACCUGCACCAGGUCAAGGAGACAAUCAAUUAGUAGAAAAGCAUGUACAUGUAGUCCCUUCUGAGCUAGCAAUUAUAAAGCAAGAUUUUCAAAGAAGAAACUCAGAGCUCGAAAGGAAGAUAGAGCAAAUAGAAGAGGACAAGAUGAAUUUAAAGUUGGACAUAGAUGUUCAGAAGCUGGAAACCGAAGGUCUGAGAAAAGAAAAGUGCAAAGUCGAUGAAGAUUUGAAUAACUUGAAGACGGAUUAUAAGAGACUACGUAUGUCGAUGAGAACUGUUGGGUUGGGAAAAACCUCAGAGUAGUGGCGUCAAGAAGUUCAAGAAGCAAAAGGUCAAGGCUGAUAGGUGGGAAAAGAGAUUUCAGGAGGCUCAAAAGCAAAAUAAGUCCUUUGAGAGGAGUUUGUCAGAAAGUCGGAAUGAAAAGGAUGAAUUAAAAGCUAAGGUGGCCGAACUGGAUGAAACUAUUCAUCAAUAUCGAAAUCGCAAUGUUGUGAUGGAGUUGCAAGCAAGUUUGAGCAGGAUCGAGAAGAUGAAGAGAACAGUAGAAGGAUUAGAGAUGGCAUUACAGAACUGUGAAGUCAGGAUUGAACAUCUGGAAGCAAAUGAAGACCAUCAAAGUGAACAGCUUCACUAUCUCCAGGAUCAAAUUGCAAGAAGGGAUCACAUUAUGGGAGAAGCUGUGGUACAGAUUCAAGGGGUAGCUGAGCACCUGCAGACUUUAGCAAUACAAGCUGAUAUACUAAGUGUGAAGUACGAAUCAGAAUCAGAUCAGGGGCAGAAGUUGGCAUCAUUACUUAGGGAGAUUAAAGUUCUAAGUGUUAGGGCAAAGCCCUAUUUAUAGCCAUUUUAUGUAAAGAUCUCUAGUAAAGUUUUUUGAAUGGAAUUGAAUUAUAAUUAAUGCCUUUUUUGCAUUCAUCUCAUGCAUCGCAUCAUAUGUAUUAGCACCGCAUUAUAUGCAUUAAAGAUCUUUAUUUAAUCCUAAUAAGUCAAAAUCACUGCUCAGUUAACCUGGAAACCAACCAACCCAACACCGAUACGGCACUCGAGCAAAGACAAAAGAUAUGGAUCAGAGAUUGGAAAAACUCGAACAGUGUCAGAAGGAGAUGCAAGACCAACUUCAGCUACAGGUGCAGGAGCGGUUAGAUAAGAUGAAACAAGAGAUGUCUGAGAAGAUGCGAGAAUCCCAAGAAGAUAUAGUGGCAAAGUUAACCCAACUGAUAACUAAGGGAAGUGAUAAAGGAAAGGGCCCCAUGGCUAAUGUCGAUGAGGGAAAUGAUGAUGAACCUCUCUAUCCUCUAGGUUUCACCCCUCCACGUAUGCGAGCUCAAGUUGAAUACCCGCGCAAAUCUACUGUCACUAUCAUGCCUCAGCAGUUUCGGGCUGGUAUUUCAAACUUCCAAGCUGGACUGGGUUCUAAUCCUGAAAAUAAUCCUGUUAACUCUGCCAUUCCUGACUUUGAUGAAAUGGUUGAGAAGGAAAGAAUGAAGGAGGAGUUACUAAAACAGUUAGAGGAAAGGUGUAGGUGGCUCGAGGAGAAGUUCAAGGCGAUGAAGGUCACUGAGAGUUAUCGAAGCAUUGACGUAAAAGAGCUGAGUUUAGUGUCAGAUUUAGUACUCCCUCAUAAGUUUAAGAUGCCUGAAUUUGAAAAGUACAAUGGGACUAGCUGCCCAGAAGCUCACAUCACCAUGUUCUGCAGGCGAAUGGCGGGAUAUGUUAACAACGACCAACUCUUGAUACAUUGUUUCCAAGACAGCCUUGCUGGGGCAGCAUCCAAAUGGUACAAUCAGUUAAGUCGUGCCACGAUUGGUUCAUGGAGGGACUUGGCACAAUCGUUCAUGAAACAAUAUAAUCAUGUAACAGACAUGGCUCCUGAUAGAAUCACCCUUCUAAAUAUGGAGAAGAAGCCGAGUGAAAGCUUCAGGCAGUACGCACAGAGAUGGAGGGAGGUCGCGGUCCAAGUUCAGCCACCGCUCUUGGAAAAAGAAAUGACCAUGUUGUUCAUUAACACCCUGAAGGCACCGUUCAUUACACACAUGUUAGGAAGUGCUACAAAAAGCUUUCCUGACAUAGUCAUGAAUGGCGAGAUGAUUGAGAACGCCAUCAGGAGUGGGAAGAUUGAUGAAGGAGAGAGUAAUAGAAGAUCAACUUCGAAGAGGAAGGAAAACGAGGUGAACAACUCGAGCAUGUACAACAAGGGUUACUCGAAGUCAGUAACAGUGAGUUAGCCAGGAAAGGUGGCUGCCAAUCAGCAAAGCUCGUCGAGACAAGAGGUCGGUAUAAGGUGAAAUACUGAGAGGCCCCAAUUCACGCCAAUUCCUAUGUCGUACAGGGAACUAUACCGAAAUUUAUUUGACGCACACGUAGUUUCCCCUUUCUAUCUGAAGCCCUUGCAACCCCCGUAUCCCAAAUGGUACGAUGCGAAUGCACAGUGCGACUAUCAUGCGGGAACAACAAGGCAUUUCAUAGAAAACUGUACGACCUUUAAGAAGUUGGUUAAAAGGCUCAUUGGUAUGGGUGUCGUUAAAUUUAACUACUCGACCAAGGUAGGAAACCCGUUACCAAACCACACUGAUGGUGGGGUAAAUAUGAUGGGCGAAGACAGAAGAAUCAAGGCAGAAAUUACGGAUGUGAAAACUCUUUUGAGAUGGGUUUGAAAGGAAAUGGUGAAAAGGGGACUAAUCGUUUCAGAAGGAAGUUGUGAAAAGAGGGGGAACUACUGUGAGUUCCACCAUAAAGUGGGGCAUGAAAUCCAAGAGUGUACAGAGUUCAGAGCCAUGAUACAAGGUAUGAUGGAUAAUAGGGAGAUGGAAUUCUGUGAAUGAGUUCAAGAGGAGAGUCAUGUAUGCACGUCAGAGUUGGCAUUGGGAGUUCUGAAGGCUAACCAUCCUGUGGUCAUCAUCUCGCGACCUCAGAACAGUGAGGUUGGGGCAGAAAUAACACCAACAGUAAUCAUUCAAAAACUGGCUGUGUUUGCAUAUAAGGAUAACAGGGAGGUUCCUUGGAAUUACGAUUGUAAUGUGCAAUCCCGGGGAAGGAGGAUAUAAUCAGUAAAGAGGAUCAGAAUGAAGGAAGGCACUACGAACAGAUGAAGGCUCGAGUAGAGCCAAUAAGAAAAGAAGCUUCGGUUGGAAAGAAGAAGAAUACGGUCGAACCUAAAUUAUUGGUCAAUGAACCAAUCAAAGAGGAGGAAGCUAGAGAGUUCUUGAAGUUCCUAAAGCAUAGCGAGUACAGCGUUGUGGAACAACUGUACAAACAACCAGCUCGCAUAUCUAUGCUAGCUUUACUCCUGAACUCAGAGGGACAUCGAAAUGCACUACUGAAUGUGCUAAAUGAAACUUAUGUGGCUGACGAUAUCUCUGUUAACAAGUUGGGUCGACUGGUCGGUAAUAUAAGCGCUGAUAACUUCAUAUCCUUUAGCGAUGAUGAAAUACCACCUGGGGGUAUGGGAUCUACUAGAGCUUUACACAUCACUGCAAUGUGUAAAUGGUGCAUAUUACCAGGAGUUCUGGUAGACAACGGAUCGGCACUGAAUGUAUUGCCUCUAUCCACGCUCAACAGGCUACCUGUGGAUAGUUCACAUAUGAAGUCGUGCCAAAAUGUGGUGAGAGCAAUUGAUGGCACCGAGAGGAAAGUCAUGGGAAGAAUUGACAUACCCUUGUUAAUUGGCCCAACUAUCUAUGAGGUGGACUUCUUGGUAAUGGACAUCAACCCUUCUUACAGUUGUCUAUUAGGAAGGCCAUGGAUUCAUUCAGCAGGAGCGGUAUCAUCAUCGUUACAUCAAAAACUGAAGCUGGUGUCAGAAGGUCGGCUAGUGACGAUAAAUGCUGAAGAAGAUAUCAUUGCAUCUGUGACCAACGAUGCGCCUGAUUUGGAAACAAGUGAUGAUGCAAUCGAGUGCUCUUUUCAUUCCUUGGAGUUCGUAAAUGCAACAUUCAUCCUUGAGGAAAACAAGAUCCCGAUGUCGAGAAUAUCAAAGACCACAAAGAUGGGUCUGCAAUUGACAGUUGGAAAGGGAGCUUUGCCGAGAAAAAGAUUGGGGAAAUAUCUUCAGGGCCGAGUUGAGGCUCCAGUGUUGAAAGACAAGCAGGACCAUUUUGGCUUAGGAUACAAGCCAGAUGCUAGGCAGAAGAGGAUAGAGCAAGAGAAGAAGCGAGAGAGAAGAAGGGCUCGUUUGAUAGGUGAUCAAGUCAAAUGGGAGCCUAUGACCUUUCCUCACCUAUCUAAGACUUUUGUAUCGGGAGGAUUUAUCUAUCAAGGAAUGCUAGGAGUCGGAAGUAUUAACACGGAGUUAGAAAGUAUUCAUGCCGUGUAUGAAGAAGCGACGGGAGGAGGAACAUUGCAGGAUAUUCAACUUUACGAACCGAGAAGUGUGCUAAACAACUGGACUGCAGAAGAAAUACCUGUAGUUUUUAGGAUUUCCUCAGAGUAAUGUCCAGAACACCCUUAUUGCUUUUAGCCUAGAAGUGAUAAGGAUUCCUUUGUGAAAUAGGCUCAUGUCUAAAAAAUCGUUAUUUUAAUAAAGUUCAUUCUUGCAGUCAUUUUUGGAGCAAAUCUUUCUUUCUAUAAGAGCAGUUAUUUUGAAUUUCUCUCAAACUACACUUGCAUUUCAUUCAUGACCAUAUUGCACCAAAUAAAUUCCUGAAUCCAUAUUGUUUUUCAUAACAGGUCCUAUGAUAUCAAUGAUACGAAUGUCACUCUUACAAAUUUAGAGUCUCUUUUUGAACGAAACAUGUGUUUAGAAGGAUCGCAUGAUUUUGAAGAUGACGAAGACUGUGGUUUGUCUCCUGACUUGUUGAAGAUGGUAGAAAGGGCCGAGAAACAAAUCCUACCUCACAGGGAAUCAAUAGAAGUUGUGAGCUUGGAGGAAGGAAAAGAGGUGAAUAUCGGAUCUGAUAUUUCUGCAAAGAUAAGAUAAAACCUCAUCAGACUACUCCAGGAAUUCAAUGAUGUCUUUGCAUGGUCAUACCAAGAUAUGCCUGGGUUAAGUACGGACAUUGUAGUCCAUCGCCUUCCUAUAAAAGAAGAUUGCAAGCCAGUGCAGCAAAAGCUCAGAAGGAUGAGACCUGAUAUCGAGUUGAAUAUAAAAGAAGAGGUCCAGAAGCAGUUUGAUGCUGGAUUUCUGCAAGAAGUGAAGUAUUCUGAGUGGGUGGCCAACAUCGUACCAGUUCCAAAGAAAGAUGGGAAUGUACGAAUGUGUGUGGAUUACAGGGAUUUUAACAAGGCCAGUCCAAAAGACAGUUUCCCAUUACCUCACAUCGACACAUUGGUAGUCAAUACAGCGGACUUUUCAUUGUUUUCCUUCAUGGAUGGUUUUUCUGGGUAUAAUCAGAUAAAGAUGCAUCCCGAGGACAGGAGAAAGACUACGUUCAUUACGUUAUGGGGAACGUUUUGUUAUAAAGUGAUACCGUUUGGAUUAAAGAAUGCGAGAGCAACAUACCAAAGAGCCAUGGUAGCCUUAUUCCAUGAUAUGAUGCAUAAGGAGAUCGAGGUUUAUGUUGACGAUAUGAUCGCGAAAUCUAGAACGGAUGAGGAACAUGUGCAGGUCUUGAGAAAGUUAUUCUUAAGAUUGAGAAAGUUCCAGCUCAAGCUUAAUCCAGCGAAGUGCACUUUUGGGGCCAGGUCAGGAAAAUUGCUAGGCUUCAUAGUCAGUGAAAAGGGAAUCGAGAUUGACCCAGACAAAGUCAAGGCAAUAAGAGACUUACCUCCACCUCGCACUCAGAAAGAAGUUUGAGGUUUCCUCGGAAGACUGAAUUACAUCGCUAGGUUCAUUUCACAACUAACUGAGAAAUGUGACCCUAUAUUUUAUCUUUUGAAGAAACAUAAUCCUGGUACUUGGGAUGAAGAAUGCGAAGAAACUUUUAACAAGGUGAAGCAGUAUUUAUCUAAUACUCCAGUGCUAUCACCACCUAGCCCAGAUAGGCCGAUGAUAUUGUAUGUGAUAGUAUUUGAUAAUUCCAUGGGGUGUGUGCUAGGCCAACAUGAUGAAACGGGGAGAAAAGAAAGGGCGAUAUAUUAUCUCAGCAAGAAAUUCACUGACUGUGAAAUGAGAUAUUCGCCCAUUGAGAAGUUGUGUUGUGCCCUGAUUUGGACAACCCAAAGAUUAAGGCAGUACAUGUUAUACCAUACGACUUGGCUAAUCUCAAAGUUAGACCCGUUAAAGUAUAUGAUGGAUUCAACUGCUUUGAAUAGGAGGAUGGUCCGAUGGCAGAUUUUACUGUCUGAAUUUGAUAUCGUCUAUGUGAGUCAAAAAGCUGUAAAAGGGAGCGCAAUAACUGACUUUCUGGCUAGCAGGGCUUUGGAAGAUUACGAACCGUUAAGUUUUGAUUUUCCAAAUGAGGACUUGUUGUAUGUAGCUGCUAUUGAAGAAAAUCCCCAAGAACGUCACAGUUGGAAGCUAAACUUUGAUGGAGCCUCGAACGCUGUGGGCAAUAGAAUUGGGGCAGUCCUGGUGUCCCCGAAUGGUGAUCAUUAUCCUUUCACUUGCAAAUUGGAUUUUGAUUGUACAAACAACAUGGCAGAAUACGAAGCAUGCAUCAUGGGUAUUCGUGCAGCUAUAGAGCGAAGAACCAAAGUGCUAGAGGUCUAUGAAGAUUGAGUACUGGUGAUAUAUCAGCUUAGGGGUGAAUGGGAAACGAGAGAUCCCAAAUUAAUCAGUUAUCGAAAGUUGGUCCUCGAAUUGAUUAAGGAGUUUGAGGACAUCACUUUUUGCUAUCCCCUACGAGAUGAGAACCAGAUGGCUGAUGCACUAGCUACUUUAGCCUCUAUGAUCAAGGUGAACAAACAUGAGGAUAUGAAGCCUAUCCAAAUGAGUAUCUAUGAAAACCCAGCUCAUUGUUACAAUAUUGAAGAAGGAGAAAUCGAUGAUAGUCCUUGGUAUCAAGAUAUACUACGAUAUGUAAAAAAUCGUGAGUAUCUUGGCCAGGCAAUGGAGAAUGAAAAGAGAACUCUGAGAAGACUAGCCAUUGAUUACGUCUUAAAUGGGGAGAUCUUAUACAGGAGGGGAAAAGAUCAGGUACUGUUAAGAUGUGUGGACGCCGUAGAAGCAAAGAAAAUCCUGGAGGAAGUCCAUAAGGGCAUCUGUGGAACGCAUGCCAAUGGUUUCACAAUGGCUAGACAGAUUAUGAGAUUCGGGUAUUACUGUCCACCAUGGAAGGGGAUUGCAUCAAUUACUCCAAAAAGUGCCAUAAAUGUCAAAUCUAUGGUGAUAAAAUGCAUGCACCUCAUUCGCCUCUUCAUGUUAUGACUUCUCCAUGGCCUUUCUCCAUGUGGGGUAUGGAUGUCAUCGGGCCAAUAUCGCCGAAGGCUUCAAAUGGGCAUCGUUUCAUAUUUGUGGUUAUUGACUACUUCACCAAAUGGGUAGAAGCUGCUUCGUAUGCUAGCGUUACAAAGUCAUCAAUCAGUAAGUUCUUGAAAAAGGAGAUCAUAUGUCGAUAUGGAAUGCCUGAAAGAAUCAUAUCCGACAAUGCGCUGAACCUGAACAACAGCUAAAUAGUAGAAGUCUGCAGUCAAUUCAAGAUUAGACAUCACAAUUUAUCGCCGUAUUGCCCAAAAAUGAAUGGUGCAGUGGAAGCGGGUAAUAAAAAUAUAAAAAAGAUUGUGGGGAAGAUGACUGAGACUUACAGGGACUGGCACGAGAAAUUAUCGUUUGCCCUCCUUACUUAUCGAACGUCAAUCAGGACCUCCACCGGGGCAACGCCUUUCUCCUUAGUUUAUGGCAUGGAAGUAGUCUUGCCUAUCGAAGUUGAAAUCCCUUCUCUCCGGGUUUUGACUGAGCUACAAUUGGAUGAAGCAGAAUGGGUUCAAUCUCGAUACGAUCAGUUGAACUUGAUAGAGGGAAAAAGGCUAAAGACUAUUUAGCAUGGUCAGAUGUAACAGAAAAGAAUGAUGCGAGCCUACAACAAGAAGGUCCGACCUAGAGAAUUUCACGAUGGGGACCUGGUGUUGAGAAAAAUUCUUCCUCUACAAAAAGAUUUUAGGGGGAAAUAGAUGCCGAAUUGGGAAGGUCCUUAUGUUGUAAAAAAGGCCUUUUCUGGAGGAGCCCUAAUCUUGGCUGAAAUGGAUGGAAGAAACUUGCCUAAUCCAGUAAAUUCAGAUUCGGUCAAGAGAUACUUUACUUGAAGAAGGGAAGGAACCAAGGUGAAAACCCGCAAAGGGCGCUUUGAUUCCAAAAAAAAUAAAAAAAUAAAAUAAAAUGGAGAGGCUAGGGUGAAAACCCGCAAAGAGCACCUUAAGACCAAAGGGGUUUGAGUUGAAAACCUGACAAGGGCGGCUCAAAGUCUGAUUGAAGCACGUGGUAGUCUUGUUGUACCUAAAUCGGCAGAAAGGAAUAGAUGACAUCUUGGGGCAUCAACAAAAUACUAUGAAUCUCAUAAACACGUGUUAAAUUCAGAAGGGUCCUCAGAAAGUUGUAUAGAGCAAUUCAAGCAAAGAUAUCUGGGGCAGUUGUCCAUAAUUUGUGUUUCUAAAACACUUCAUUCUUUUUCAAUAUAAGUGUUUUAGUCAAUUUCCUUUUUUUUUUGACUUGUUUUCAUUGAUAAUUUAUUGCAAGUUAUGAUCUCAAGUCAAUUUCGUUUUAUCUAUCAUUAUGAUCUUUUCAAAAGCAUGUUGCAUUAGAAUAACGAUUAAUGGACUAAUAAAACUUUCACAAGGAAAGUUUUUCAUAUUACUCUGGAAAUUUCUAAAUAAUACAAGAACCUGAAGCAGGACUAUUGUUUAGACUUCACCGGGUUAAAAGGUCGAAGAUAUAUAGGAGUAAAAAGCCGAAUCAAGAAUUUUUGAGUUUUUUUCGAAGCGUUGUUAUGACAAAGGAAGCCUUAAUGUGUAAUAACGACUUCAAUAUUUAGCGUUAAUGAAUCAUUUUCAUGACAUAGCAUUUAGAUGUCAUUCAUACAUGCCUAGUUAAGAGCAUGUGAUCCAUUCCAAUCAUGAUAUCCUAAUCACUAGGCAUAAUUAGGUUUAUCAUACAGGUCAUGUUCCACAGAGAACAGGUCGGUGGAAUCAUAAAACCUUAUCUCCUUGAGCAGCAGUGGAGCAGGUUGAAAGAUAACAGAUAUUGUCUUCAUGUACUAGCGUGAAGUACAUCAGAGAUACCAGAUCUUGCCUUCCCAUACUGGUGGCGAAGCUGGUUGAAAGAUAACAGAUCUUGUCUUCAUGUACUGGCGUGAAGUAGAUCAGAGAUACCAGAUCUUGCCUUCCCAUACUGGUGGCGAAGCAGGUCAAAGAAAACAGAUCUUGUCUUCAUGUACUGGCGUGAAGUACAUCAGAGAUACCAGAUCUUGCCUUCCCAUACUGGUGGCGAAGCAGGUCAAAGAAAGAAGAUCUUGUCUUCAUGUACUGGCGUGAAGUAGAUCAGAGAUACCAGAUCUUGCCUUCCCAUACUGGUGGCGAAGCAGGUCAAAGAAAGCAGAUUUUGUCUUCAUGUACUGGCGUGAAGUAGAUCAGAGAUACCAGAUCUUGCCUUCCCAUACUGGUGGCGAAGCAGGUCAAAGAAAGCAGAUAUUGUCUUCAAGUACUGGCGUGAAGUAGAUUAGAGAUACCAGAUCUUGCCUUCCCAUACUGGUGGCGAAGCAGGUCAAAUAAAGCAGAUCUUGUCUUCAUGUACUGGCGUGAAGUAGAUCAGAGAUACCAGAUCUUGCCUUCCCAUACUGGUGGCGAAGCAGGUCAAAGAAAGCAGAUCUUAUCUUCAUGUACUAGCGUGAAGUAGAUCAGAGAUACCAGAUCUUGCCUUCCCAUACUGGUGGCGAAGUAGGUCAAAAAAAGCAGACCUUGUCUUCAUGUACUGGCGUGAAGUAGAUCAGAGAUACCAGAUCUUGCCUUCCCAUACUGGUGGCGAAGCAAGUCAAAGAAAACAGAUCUUGUCUUCAUGUACUGGCUUGAAGUAGAUCAGAGAUACCAGAUCUUGCCUUCCCAUACUGGUGGCGAAGCAGGUCAAAGAAAGCAGAUCUUGUCUUCAUGUACUGGCGUGAAGUAGAUCAGAGAUAACAGAUCUUGCCUUCCCAUACUGGUGGCGAAGCAGAUCGAAGAAAACAGAUCUUACCUUCCCAUACUGGUGCCGAAGCAGAUCGAAGAAAACAGAUCUUGUCUUCAUGUACUGGCAUGAAGUAGAUCAAAGAUAAUAGAUCUUGCCUUCCCAUACUGGUGGCGAAACAGAUCGAAGAAAACAGAUCUUGUCUUCAUGUAUUGGCGUGAAGUAGAUCAAAGAUAACAGAUCUUGUCUUUCCAUACUGGUGGUGAAACAGAUCGAAGAAAGCAGAUCUUAUCUUCAUGUACUGGCGUGAAGUAGAUCAAAGGUAACAGAUCUUGUCUUCCCAUACUGGUGGCGAAACAGAUCGAAGAAAGCAGAUCUUGUCUUCAUGUACUGGCGUGAAGUAGAUCAAAGGUAACAUAUCUUGUCUUCCCAUACUGGUGGCGAAGUAGAUCGAAGGAAAAAGCGGAUCUUAUCUUCAUGUACUGUCGUGAAGUAGAUCAAAGAUAACAGACCUUGUCUUCCCAUACUGGUGGCGAAGUAGAUCGAAGAAAGUAGAUCUUGUCUUCAUGUAUUGGCGUGAAGUAGAUCGAAGAAAGCGGAUCUUGUCUUCAUGUAUUGGCGUGAAGUAGAUCGAAGAAAGCGGAUCUUAUCUUCAUGUAUUGGCAUGAAGUAGAUCGAGGAAAGCAGAUCUUGUCUUCAUGUAUUGGUGUGAAGUAGAUCGAAGAAAGCAAAUCUUGUCUUCAUGUAUUGGCGUGAAGUAGAUCGAAGAAAGCAGAUCUUGUCUUCAUGUAUUGGCAUGAAGUAGAUCAAAGAGAGCAGAUCUUGUCUUCCCAUAUUGGUGGCGAAGUAGAUCGAAGAUACAAGUCUUAUCCCCCUGAAGUUGCAGUGGACCAGACAGAAAUAACCGAUCCUAUCUCCUUGGAAUUGCAAUGGAGUAGAUUAAAAUCACAGAUCUCAUCUCUCUGAAAUUGCAGUUGAGCAGAUCGCAUCCGAUUUAUCUUUAAGUCGUAGCAGAACAAGUCGAAGUUAUAAGUCUUAUCUCCCUGAAGAUACAGUGGAGCAGAUUAAAGAUAGCAAAUUUUGUUCUUUCGAGACGCUAUAACAUAUGAAUCUUAUUUCCCCGACAUUGUAAUGGGGUAGAUCGAAGCACCAGUUCCUAUACAUCUGAAGAUACAGUAGGAGGGAAUGUGGUUACUUGAAGAAGAAAAGCACUGAAGAAGGCGAGGCUCAGUAAGACCGGGUACAAUCGGGCUUUUAGUCUUUGCUCUACUCCCGUUACACGACAAUGAGCAAAGAGGGGCAGCUGUACAAGCCCAAUAAUGCCCGGGCCCAAACCCAAUAAACUAAACCAAAACCCAAUAGCUAAUUCCUAACCCAGGCCCGAAACUAAUGGAAAAUGGAAGGGUUGGGAAGCCCUAGCAGCAGCCCCCGCCUCCAGCAGACUCUCCAGGCGCCGCACGUCUCGGGGCCGACCUCUCCACACGCGCCAUUUGCUCCACGAACGCCUGCAAACGCGGACUCAAUGAGUCCGAAAGAAAAAAACAACAAGAAAUAACAUUAUUUCAUUAUUUUCUUUUUCUUUUUCGGGCUAUAAAAAGCCAUUUCUAAUCUGUAAAAUGGGGGUCGAAAAAUAUAUGCAAAGAUAUAGAGAGAAAAUACA